Long non-coding RNA from Zophobas morio, 492 nucleotides. RefSeq lists it as uncharacterized. NCBI's taxonomy places the organism in Eukaryota, Metazoa, Arthropoda, Insecta, Coleoptera, Tenebrionidae. The record is from RefSeq and is a predicted model, not a curated record. The transcript has 2 exons.
ACUUGAGCUGGAGCAAAGUCACAACAUGACCUUUCUAUUUUUCGGUCGAUUCAUUACAUCACAACUUCAAUCGGCGUUUUCGCCCAUUCAGGGGUUAACAGGAGUCGAGUCGGACGCAUUAUUUAAAGCAAUUUGUGCAAUGCGGAUUUGAAGGUUAUUUGUAUUGAAAAUAUUUUAAUAGUGCGAGAGGGAGAUAGGUUGGAGAAGGAGAGGCGAGGAGCCACAGUAUAAGCAACGGUGGUGAAACAAACGAGAUUUUUUCAGGCAACUUAAACAGGGGCACAACAUGCAACCAAUAUCCAUUCACUCAAGGAGAGGUAAUAAUUACAAUGAUGAAAGAUGAAGACUGAUCGAAAAAAUUUGUUCUCUGUGUGAAAUAUAUCUCAAAUAACCACCUUGAUACACUAUACUAUAAUUAUUCUCUUGAUUUUGAAAAUUUCAAUCUAUCGUUUGUUUCAUUUCAAACUAUAAAUUAAUUACAUACAUUAUUUU